This 305-nucleotide ribosomal RNA is filed under the name uncultured bacterium. RNAcentral's name for it is "bacterial SSU rRNA". It matches the Rfam family "Bacterial small subunit ribosomal RNA", at positions 335 to 659 of the family's 1533-position model. The record is from RNAcentral.
UACCUACGGGAGGCAGCAGUGGGGGAUAUUGCACAAUGGGCGCAAGCCUGAUGCAGCGACGCCGCGUGAGCGAAGAAGUAUUUCGGUAUGUAAAGCUCUAUCAGCAGGGAAGAAAAUGACGGUACCUGACUAAGAAGCUCCGGCUAAAUACGUGCCAGCAGCCGCGGUAAUACGUAUGGAGCAAGCGUUAUCCGGAAUUACUGGGUGUAAAGGGAGCGUAGGCGAGAAUGCAAGUUGAAUGUUUAAACUAUGGGCUCAACCCAUAGUCGCGUUCAAAACUGCAUUUCUUGAGUGGAGUAGAGGCA